Molecule: non-coding RNA, 48 nt
Filed under: Schistosoma curassoni
Lineage: Eukaryota; Metazoa; Platyhelminthes; Trematoda; Strigeidida; Schistosomatidae
Source: RNAcentral
AUCCAGUUGACGAGUCCAGAAUAGGACGAAACGCUCGUUAAACUGGAU